AUUGAACGCUGGCGGAAUGCUUUACACAUGCAAGUCGAGCGGCAGCGCGGGGCAACCUGGCGGCGAGCGGCGAACGGGUGAGUAAUGCAUCGGAACAUGUCCAUGUCGUGGGGGAUAGCCCGGCGAAAGCCGGAUUAAUACCGCAUAUGCCCGAGAGGGGAAAGCCGGGGACCGCAAGGCCUGGCGCGAUUGGGUUGGCCGAUGUCCGAUUAGCUAGUUGGCGGGGAANAGCCCACCAAGGCGAUGAUCGGUAGCUGGUCUGAGAGGAUGAUCAGCCACACUGGGACUGAGACACGGCCCAGACUCCUACGGGAGGCAGCAGUGGGAAUUUUGGACAAUGGGGGAAACCCUGAUCCAGCCAUUCCGCGUGAGUGAAGAAGGCCU
This 384-nucleotide ribosomal RNA is filed under the name uncultured bacterium. Its description in RNAcentral is "bacterial SSU rRNA". It matches the Rfam family "Bacterial small subunit ribosomal RNA", at positions 29 to 417 of the family's 1533-position model. The record is from RNAcentral.